Molecule: ribosomal RNA, 450 nt
Filed under: uncultured bacterium
Lineage: Bacteria
Description: bacterial SSU rRNA
Rfam family: Bacterial small subunit ribosomal RNA
Source: RNAcentral
ACUCCUACGGGAGGCAGCAGUGAGGAAUAUUGGACAAUGGGGCGAACCCUGAUCCAGCCAUGCCGCGUGAGUGAUGACGGCCUUAGGGUUGUAAAGCUCUUUCGCUAGGGAAGAUAAUGACGGUACCUAGUAAAGAAGCCCCGGCUAACUUCGUGCCAGCAGCCGCGGUAAUACGAAGGGGGCUAGCGUUGUUCGGAAUCACUGGGGCGUAAAGCGCGCGUAGGCGGACUUUUAAGUCAGGGGUGAAAUCCCGAGGCUCAACCUCGGAACUGCCUUUUGAUACUGGAAGUCUUGAGUUCGAGAGAGGUGAGUGGAAUACCGAGUGUAGAGGUGAAAUUCGUAGAUAUUCGGUGGAACACCAGUGGCGAAGGCGGCUCACUGGCUCGAUACUGACGCUGAGGUGCGAAAAGCGUGGGGAGCAAACAGGAUUAGAUACCCUGGUAGUGACAA